AUGAACGCUGGCGGCGUGCCUAAUACAUGCAAGUCGAGCGAACAGACGAGGAGCUUGCUCCUCUGACGUUAGCGGCGGACGGGUGAGUAACACGUGGAUAACCUACCUAUAAGACUGGGAUAACUUCGGGAAACCGGAGCUAAUACCGGAUAAUAUAUUGAACCGCAUGGUUCAAUAGUGAAAGACGGUUUUGCUGUCACUUAUAGAUGGAUCCGCGCCGCAUUAGCUAGUUGGUAAGGUAACGGCUUACCAAGGCAACGAUGCGUAGCCGACCUGAGAGGGUGAUCGGCUACACUGGAACUGAGACACGGUCCAGACUCCUACGGGAGGCAGCAGUAGGGAAUCUUCCGCAAUGGGCGAAAGCCUGACGGAGCAACGCCGCGUGAGUGAUGAAGGUCUUCGGAUCGUAAAACUCUGUUAUUAGGGAAGAACAAAUGUGUAAGUAACUAUGCACGUCUUGACGGUACCUAAUCAGAAAGCCACGGCUAACUACGUG
RNAcentral lists this ribosomal RNA (496 nucleotides) under uncultured bacterium. Its description in RNAcentral is "partial 16S ribosomal RNA". It matches the Rfam family "Bacterial small subunit ribosomal RNA", at positions 29 to 507 of the family's 1533-position model. The record is from RNAcentral.